This 674-nucleotide long non-coding RNA is filed under the name Rattus norvegicus (Norway rat). Its description in RNAcentral is "long non-coding RNA NONRATT007141". The record is from RNAcentral. Lineage: Eukaryota; Metazoa; Chordata; Mammalia; Rodentia; Muridae.
AGGUGUGGUGGUGCAUGCCUCCUGUUGUAGCCAUUAGUAGGUUAAGACAGGAGGGUCAGAGUUUGAGGCCAGCCUGGACAUAUCAGAGACCCGCACAAAAAGUCUUCAAACCCCAAUCUCUUCCUCCCCUACAAAUUCAAUUUGAUUUUGUACCUUCUUUUCUAACGAGCAUUUUUACUUUGCUCUUGGAGAUUGAAGUUUUAGAAGCAUCUCAUACCUUGGCUGUCAAUCACAGAUAUAAGAAAGUAUCAUUACAUCAUCACAUCUUAGUUCUGUGGGACUUCGAUUCUGUGGCAGUCUGGAGUGGAUAAGAACCAGCAAGGUGAAGCCAGCAAAUACGUGUGUGCUAGAUAUUUCUAAGACCAUUUUUAAAAUUUUCUCAUUUUGUUCUUUUAGUGUGAUAUCUUGUGAUCUGACUAAUUGUUUUCCCUCUACAAACUUUUAGGCUUGCUAGUAGAUUUUUUUUUUUUUUGUUCUGUUUUUAAGCACCGAGUACCAAGAUUUUGAAGAUCAUGGCCCAUCCUAUGCAGUCAAGAGUUGAGUGUGGCUGACUUCGAAUGUAAAGACUCUUCAGAAGCUUCAUGUGUCCUGCACAUUGAAGCCUGCAUUAAACCCUCUCACAUAAGUAAUGCUCAAAGGGGCUGAAGCCCAUUAAUACAGUCAUUUGUCUCUCU